RNAcentral lists this ribosomal RNA (562 nucleotides) under Neofusicoccum vitifusiforme. RNAcentral describes it as "eukaryotic LSU rRNA". It matches the Rfam family "Eukaryotic large subunit ribosomal RNA", at positions 90 to 667 of the family's 3401-position model. Lineage: Eukaryota; Fungi; Ascomycota; Dothideomycetes; Botryosphaeriales; Botryosphaeriaceae. The record is from RNAcentral.
CGAGUGAAGCGGCAAUAGCUCAAAUUUGAAAGCUGGCCCCUUCGGGGUCCGCGUUGUAAUUUGUAGAGGAUGGUUCGGCGAGGGCUCCCGUCUAAGUCCCUUGGAACAGGGCGUCAUAGAGGGUGAGAAUCCCGUAUGUGAUGGGCUGCCUUAGCCAUGUGAACCUCCUUCGACGAGUCGAGUUGUUUGGGAAUGCAGCUCUAAAUGGGAGGUAAAUUUCUUCUAAAGCUAAAUACCGGCCAGAGACCGAUAGCGCACAAGUAGAGUGAUCGAAAGAUGAAAAGCACUUUGGAAAGAGAGUUAAAAAGUACGUGAAAUUGUUGAAAGGGAAGCGCUUGCAGCCAGACUUGUCCGCAGUUGCUCAGCCUGUCUCCUGACAGGCGCACUCUUCUGCGGCCAGGCCAGCAUCAGUUCGGGCGGUCGGAUAAAGACCCGGGGAAUGUAGCUCCUCUCGGGGAGUGUUAUAGCCCUGGGUGCAAUGCGGCCAGCCUGGACUGAGGAUCUCGCUUCGGCUAGGAUGCUGGCGUAAUGGCUGUAAGCGGCCCGUCUUGAAACACGGACC